This 239-nucleotide long non-coding RNA is filed under the name Mytilus galloprovincialis (Mediterranean mussel). The record is from RNAcentral. Lineage: Eukaryota; Metazoa; Mollusca; Bivalvia; Mytilida; Mytilidae.
CGGGUAUGUAAAUAAUCCAUCAAGCAAAAAGACACACAACUUUCUUGUUUAAAACCCGGUUUCUUCAAGUUAAUCGACAAGCAAACCAUUUCAAUUUAUCUGUUUAUAAUAACUUGUUGAUCCAACAGUUUUGAAAAACCAGAGGUCCUCAUAUUAUCUAUCAGACUAGUAUACAUCUUUCCAUUCUUUUUAACUGUAAAACAUGAAUUCAGCCAGCAGCCGACGAGCGUCCAUGGAUG